GGCGCAACCCCUGCAUUCAGUUGCCAACGGUAAGGCCGGGCACUCUGGAUGGACUGCCGGCGACAAGCCGGAGGAAGGUGGGGAUGACGUCAAGUCAUCAUGGCCCUUAUGUCCAGGGCGACACACGUGCUACAAUGGCCGGCACAGCGGGAAGCGAGGGGCGACCUUGAGCGGAUCCCUCAAAGCCGGUCUCAGUUCGGAUUGCAGUCUGCAACUCGACUGCAUGAAGUUGGAAUCGCUAGUAAUCGCAGAUCAGCCAAGCUGCGGUGAAUACGUUCCCGGGCCUU
This 287-nucleotide ribosomal RNA is filed under the name uncultured Thermovirga sp. Its description in RNAcentral is "partial 16S ribosomal RNA". It matches the Rfam family "Bacterial small subunit ribosomal RNA", at positions 1095 to 1382 of the family's 1533-position model. The record is from RNAcentral. Lineage: Bacteria; Thermotogati; Synergistota; Synergistia; Synergistales; Thermovirgaceae.